Molecule: long non-coding RNA, 1031 nt
Organism: Ictalurus punctatus (channel catfish)
Lineage: Eukaryota; Metazoa; Chordata; Actinopteri; Siluriformes; Ictaluridae
Source: Ensembl
UCUAUCUCACACAGACAGACAACUUCCAGGAAAGACCACACAUUCAGAUCAGACAGUGUUACUAGACGUCAUAAAUGUACACGACUUGACUGUCAGACAGCGGGGACAUAGGAUGUCAAAGCAGAGACAAAAGCUUAUGUUAUGUUUAGAAGUGACAACAUGACAGUAAACAGAAGCAGAGGAUCCGAUUGGACAUUACCAAAGUAGAUGCUGUGUUUGUGGGAACAAGGGAUCUGUUUGUUGCUAUGCAGCUAGCGUGGACACACAAACACCCUAAUGACCUCAAAGUAUGAUUCAACUUGAAUGCAACAUGUCCUGCUUAUUAUUUUACCUGAUUAGUCAUAGUCAUCCUAAAAGUCAUUUUAAAUAGCACCUUCAAAAAUAAUAAUAAUCAGUGAUGAGUGAGAUGGUGCUUCUCAGUUCUUUAAUUGUGUCAUUUCCUUGAUUAACACUCACUUCUGGCAAAGUGAUCAGAAAAAAAAACCUAAUUAACAGUAGAGUUUACCCAAACCCCAACAAUGUCUUUAUACUGCUUCAUUUUUAGCCCAGUGACAUGCUUUUUUAUAAUACAUGGUAUGGUAAAGAAUGGUAGGGGUUAAAAUUAUUAAUAUGAGUCAGUACUUAUGACAUGUAAAUAUAGAACAUAGCGUAAUAAUAAUGUGGAGAAAGCAAUUACACACAAACACACUGAAAGUCAGAGAGGGAGCUGCAUUGAUGCUUCUUUAUUUAGUUCAAGUCUUUAUUUAAGUCAAGAGCUUCAAGUGUGUAUGUUCUUCUAUACUCUUUCCAUAUCACCUCCAAGCAUGCUAAAGUUAGUUCAGGUUAAUUCCCUGCUAUAGCUAUGUUGGUAAAUUAGUGUUGGUCUACUUACUUCUAGCCCAAAUGGAGAUCAAAUUUAUGGGCCAUGUCAUUAGAUGUAGUCACUUGAUAGGACUUAAUUACAUAGAUCUGUACACAAGAGUCAUUCAUGCAGUUAUCCAGUCAGCCAAUCAUGUGGCAGUAGAACAAUGUAUAAAGUCACACAGAUACAG